Molecule: long non-coding RNA, 143 nt
Organism: Telopea speciosissima
Lineage: Eukaryota; Viridiplantae; Streptophyta; Magnoliopsida; Proteales; Proteaceae
Exons: 3
Source: RefSeq, a predicted model, not a curated record
GCAAUCUUCUAUAAGGACAUUCUCAAUACAAAUUAAAGCUUUAAAGUUUGCCUUUGCUCCCUUUAAAGAGGCUUCCCAUAGCCUUUGCCUUGUUUCUGAGGACAAACUUCUGUGUCUUCCCAGUCGAAGUCUUUGGGAGAUCC